GGCACGUCAACCGGAUGAUUCACCUGCAUCAACGUGACAUAAACUAGGGUCACAUGAAUCUACAUGAAUAUAUAGAGAAAGAGAUAAAUACCAAGCCAGACGCCUCAUCGACCUACAUCUUCUUCGAGGUAAGAUCAGGUGUCUGAAGAAGAUUUUUCUCAGUAAAGGUCGGAUAUUCAUGUCAAUUUAUUAGCUGCUCGGUGCAUAGUCAAAAAAAACUUCAUUGCAUGUUUCAUUCCUUCGCCAGAGCCUCAACUUCAGGUAAGAAUUCUUGUGAAAGACUGCUCAAAUACCUCAAAAAUUUGCAUCUUCGCUUUACGCCCUUCGCCAGAUUCUCCCAGAUUCUCCCAGAUCCAUCUCGAGCAAGUCUCAACAGCCCUCCUUUACAGCUUCUUACCUCGUUAGUUUCUCGUGGGUUCACGCUUGAACCGGUUCUCUCAAGUGUCCAAGUAUGUCAGAUGCGACGGAUAGUUGAUUUUGGGCAAAAGGGUCCUCUCAAGAUAUUGUUUGUUCUGGAGUCUUGAGAAAACCCUUUUGCCCAAAAUCAAUUAUUUGCUCUCUGUAAUCUUUGCCUACUCUGACCUCAUCUGGUGAUAGCUACUGAUCCCAGAAUUGUAGCAAGGAGCUUAGAGAAGCACAUAAUUCCUAAUAUUUGUUGUCCUGAGGAUUCUUAUCAAGAAAGGAAUUGUAUCUGUUUAAAAGUAGUUAUCAGAAUUGGUCGACGUUUCAAAUUGAUUUAAGAUCUAAAUGAUAUGCAUCUAUUAGAUGAAUCUAUAAUCUAAUGAAGUACAAGCGAAUAUAUCGAUUCACCAAUUGCGGAUAUAGGAUCCAAUACCUACCCAUUGAUUCAAUGGAUCAAUUAUUUCUUGUCUUAUUUAUGAUGUGUUUCAUACUUUGAUGAUUACAUAGCAAGUAAAACUAUUAUGUACUUCGCAAUCCAUUCUUAAAUGAAAUGUCUUUAUGUAAAAGUGUAAUCCGUAUGUUAAUAAGAUAAAGGGUACACAUAUAUUUAUAGAGAUCGUAAAAUUAACUGGAAAUCAAGAUAUUUUUGCCGUGGAAUAUGGAUUUUGCUCAAAAUUUUAUUCUUUAUGAUACUUUAUAAUAAAGUUAGGUAUUUUGUGACACAAAAAUACCGUUAUUUCGCCAAAUUUUAUGAUUCAACUUGAAUCAAUUCUCGAUUCUUGAUUCAAGAGCAUAAACACGUAUCUUUAUUUGACAACUACGGUUAUUAAGCGUUACGGGAAAAAAUGGCAUGAUGAUUGUGGCUUUAUUCCGUCCUUUUAUCGAGGUUCUGAAUAGGGCUGGUAAUUUGUGUGAGGAUUCUGUUGAGACUUGAUUCUUCAUUCAUCUGACGACAUCUCUCUUUUUUUCUAAAAAAAAUGUUGAAGCUUCGUUAAGCUAUUCGUUUAUGGUGUUUUCAUUUCCUCAAAUUCUGUUCAUAAGAGGUUUGAUUGGGAGAAAUUAUUGAUGGUUUACUUAUGUACUUUAGCUAUGCAAAGGAGAGAGUAGUCCAACCAUAUGCUCGCUCUUUCCAAACAAUGCCAUUUCUUCUUUCAGUUAUUGAACGAUGAAAACCAAAUUUUUGCCAUCGUCAGUAGAACCAUAAAUUAGUAGUUGGCCAUGGAAGAUGUUCUGCAGAAUCUCCUGCUACAUUUAUUCGGAUUUCUGUCACUACUGCUCAAAUGCAUGUUACCAAACGCCUCUACUGUGGGAUGAUUAUAUAGUACAUUUAGCGCGACCAUCAGGGCUUGGUGUAGCCGUCUACCACAUAGCUUAAGAUUUUGAGGAUGUUGAAGGAAGAUGUUUCAUCUCAGGUUCUUCCUUCUUACCAAUGUAUUUGAGGAUCUAUUUGCUUCUCUGUUUGGAUGGAGAUUUUGAGGCGAGGAGCGGAGGAGUUUAUAAAAUGAGCAAUGUUUUGUCUGCAAUGAUCAGCUUUGCUAUGCUUGGUUGCAAUCCGCAGAACAAGAUGGGAAGGAGCAAUCACUUCCCGUACAUUUUGAGAAUAUUGGAGAAAUUUUAUUGGAGAAGUUUGUGAGCGUCUCAUAAGAGGAAGCUCUGUGAUUUUGUCGAAUCUGUAUACAGCAUGACUUUUUGAGUUUCUUGAAGAUGCAGAUCAAUAAGGCUACUGUUGAAAGUGACUCUGUACUGCUUUCCCUACAUAUGGUUUCUUGCGUAUUGUUUGUU
Molecule: long non-coding RNA, 2184 nt
Organism: Syzygium oleosum
Lineage: Eukaryota; Viridiplantae; Streptophyta; Magnoliopsida; Myrtales; Myrtaceae
Exons: 2
Source: RefSeq, a predicted model, not a curated record